AAUGAACGCUGGCGGCGUGCUUAACACAUGCAAGUCGUACGAGAAAGCCUUGGCUUGCCAGGGCGAGUAAAGUGGCGCACGGGUGAGUAACGCGUGGGUAAUCUACCCUUGAAUCGGGGAUAACCCUUCGAAAGGAGGGCUAACACCGGAUGAUAUCGGUUUAUUUUCGGACAGACCGAUCAAAUGUGGCCUCUACAAGUAAGCUACAGUUUGAGGAUGAGCCCGCGUACCAUUAGCUAGUUGGUAGGGUAAAGGCCUACCAAGGCGACGAUGGUUAGCUGGUCUGAGAGGAUGAUCAGCCACACUGGAACUGACACACGGUCCAGACUCCUACGGGUGGCAG
This 343-nucleotide ribosomal RNA is filed under the name uncultured Pseudomonadota bacterium. Its description in RNAcentral is "bacterial SSU rRNA". It matches the Rfam family "Bacterial small subunit ribosomal RNA", at positions 29 to 351 of the family's 1533-position model. The record is from RNAcentral. Lineage: Bacteria; Pseudomonadati; Pseudomonadota.